RNAcentral lists this ribosomal RNA (253 nucleotides) under uncultured bacterium. Its description in RNAcentral is "partial 16S ribosomal RNA". It matches the Rfam family "Bacterial small subunit ribosomal RNA", at positions 524 to 776 of the family's 1533-position model. The record is from RNAcentral.
UACGUAGGCAGCGAGCGUUGUUCGGAAUUACUGGGCGUAAAGAGUGUGUAGGCGGUGCUCUAAGUUCGGUGUGAAAUCUCCCGGCUUAACUGGGAGGGUGCGCCGGAAACUGGAGUGCUCGAACGUGGGAGAGGAAAGCGGAAUUCCCGGUGUAGCGGUGAAAUGCGUAGAUAUCGGGAGGAAUACCUGCGGUGUAGACGGCUUUCUGGACCAUUGUUGACGCUGAGACACGAAAGCGUGGGUAGCAAACAGG